GUCAUUUUGUAUUACGCACGGGAAAUUGACAGCCCAAUCGGGUGUUGGGGCAUCAAUUUCCCGUUUGUAAUACAAAAUGACUGAAAAUUGCAAAUUUCGCAAGGCUAUAUUAUCCGCAUUUUACAACAUUUCGCAAACGAAACUUUGAAAUAUUACUAAUUUUGUGAUGCUCUUUCAAGCUGUGAUGAAAUUUUUGACUAGAUCAAAAUUUGGUCUAUAAUGCAAAUGGUCCAUUGUCAUA
This is a non-coding RNA of Paramuricea clavata, 241 nucleotides long. The record is from the annotation of a GenBank genome assembly. Lineage: Eukaryota; Metazoa; Cnidaria; Anthozoa; Malacalcyonacea; Plexauridae.